RNAcentral lists this ribosomal RNA (497 nucleotides) under uncultured bacterium. RNAcentral describes it as "partial 16S ribosomal RNA". It matches the Rfam family "Bacterial small subunit ribosomal RNA", at positions 28 to 507 of the family's 1533-position model. The record is from RNAcentral.
GAUGAACGCUGGCGGCGUGCCUAAUACAUGCAAGUCGAGCGAACGGACGAGGAGCUUGCUUCGCUGAUGUUAGCGGCGGACGGGUGAGUAACACGUGGAUAACCUACCUAUAAGACUGGGAUAACUUCGGGAAACCGGAGCUAAUACCGGAUAAUAUUUUGAACCGCAUGGUUCAAAGGUGAAAGUCGGUGUUGCUGUCUCUUAUAGAUGGAUCCGCGCUGCAUUAGCUAGUUGGUAAGGUAACGGCUUACCAAGGCAACGAUGCAUAGCCGACCCGAGAGGGUGAUCGGCCACACUGGAACUGAGACACGGUCCAGACUCCUACGGGAGGCAGCAGUAGGGAAUCUUACGCAAUGGGCGAAAGUCUGACGGAGCAACGCCGCGUGAGUGAUGAAGGUCUUCGGAUCGUAAAACUCUGUUAUUAGGGAAGAACAUAUGUGUAAGUAACUGUGCACAUCUUGACGGUAACUAAUCAGAAAGCCACGGCUAACUACGUG